Ribosomal RNA from Caldisphaera lagunensis DSM 15908, 120 nucleotides. The record is from Rfam. NCBI's taxonomy places the organism in Archaea, Thermoproteati, Thermoproteota, Thermoprotei, Acidilobales, Acidilobaceae.
UGGCCCGGCCAUAGCUGCCGGGUAACACCCGGACUCGUAUCGAACCCGGAAGUUAAGCCGGCCGCGUUGAAGUUGCCAGUGAGUUCCGAAAGGGCUCGCAGGCACUUCAAGCUGGGGCCG